Sitophilus oryzae (rice weevil) is the source of this 600-nucleotide long non-coding RNA. RefSeq lists it as uncharacterized. The record is from RefSeq and is a predicted model, not a curated record. Lineage: Eukaryota; Metazoa; Arthropoda; Insecta; Coleoptera; Curculionidae. The transcript has 4 exons.
GUUUAAUUUAAUAAUUACUAAAACCAGUAGUUCGAAAGAUAUAUUUAAAAAUAAAAGAUAAAAAUCCAAAAAAUUAAUUAUCUAUUAACGUGGAUUUGGACGACAAUAGGUUUUUAGUUUGUGAUGUUUCAUGUGAUGAUCAUUUUCAUGUUCAUCGUCUUUGAAUUGACAUGAGGAUAUCUAUGGAAAAGUAACUAAUCUGAAAGUAAGCCAACAUAUCGUUUGUCCUUUGUGUGCUAAAGAAAAGAUUUUCUUUUCGCAUCGUGAGGAAGUAUUACAUCAAUUAAAAAAUGUUAGGAAGUUGAUUACUUGUCAUGGAAAAGUAUACCAAUGGAAAUUAUUUGUUAAAGAAGUAUAAUUCUAAGGGUUUUAAGAAUAAAUUGGUUGAACCCAAAAUCUGGAGGAAGUACCUAUAUCCAUACACAGAAUAUGCCCAUUAAGAAUACUAGUCCAAAUUUGCUUUAAUGGAACGAUUAGGGCCCGAUAUAUUUGAAACUCAUGUUGGACAUAGUAUUGAGUUGGGUAGAAUAUUAUUCUACGUUAAGUGAGGAUAUCAGAUACCUAUUAUUGUACUGUAUUUUAAUAUAUACAUUAGAAUUG